GUAUGUGAAAUCUCUUAGUUUAAGUUACAAUCAACAUAAAUAAUACUCCAUUUGUUUCUAUAAAAUAAAAAAUAAAACCCUGUUUCAAGAAUAUAUAUAUUUUAUACUUUAUACAAUUUCAAAAAAUUAAUUGUAUUUAUUCAAAUGUGACACUAAAAUUAUAUAAAUUAAUAAAUUAAUAAACAUAAUAAAUUCAUAAUUUUUUCUAGUCUCAAAUUUCAUCGAUGUAAAAUAUGACGUAGUUCAAUAAGAUAAUAAAAUAGUAGUAUUCAGAAAACUCUUAUAUAGAUAAAUAAUAUUAUUGAAAUUUUAUAUUAAUAAUUACUAUAUAUAUAAAUGUUAUAAACAUGCACAAAACAUUUAAAAAAAAAUUCACGUCUAAUUUAAUUUUUCAUUUUACCGAACAAUAUAUAAAAAAUUAUUUGUAUUCUACGAUAUAUAUGCAUUAUAUAUCAAUUCUAUAGAAAUAAAUUAUUUUAAAAUAAUA
Molecule: long non-coding RNA, 487 nt
Filed under: Brassica napus (rape)
Lineage: Eukaryota; Viridiplantae; Streptophyta; Magnoliopsida; Brassicales; Brassicaceae
Description: long non-coding RNA (BNAP_LNC011120)
Source: RNAcentral